RNAcentral lists this transfer RNA (74 nucleotides) under Chryseobacterium sp. 52. RNAcentral's name for it is "tRNA-Pro". It matches the Rfam family "tRNA". Rfam says of the family: Transfer RNA (tRNA) molecules are approximately 80 nucleotides in length. Their secondary structure includes four short double-helical elements and three loops (D, anti-codon, and T loops). Further hydrogen bonds mediate the characteristic L-shaped molecular structure. tRNAs have two regions of fundamental functional importance: the anti-codon, which is responsible for specific mRNA codon recognition, and the 3' end, to which the tRNAs corresponding amino acid is attached (by aminoacyl-tRNA synthetases). tRNAs cope with the degeneracy of the genetic code in two manners: having more than one tRNA (with a specific anti-codon) for a particular amino acid; and 'wobble' base-pairing, i.e. permitting non-standard base-pairing at the 3rd anti-codon position. Lineage: Bacteria; Pseudomonadati; Bacteroidota; Flavobacteriia; Flavobacteriales; Weeksellaceae. The record is from RNAcentral.
AUGGAUAUAUAUCAGACGGCAAGAUUACCUGAUUUGGGUUCAGGAGGUCGCAGGUUCGAGUCCUGCUAUCCAUA